This 204-nucleotide ribosomal RNA is filed under the name uncultured bacterium. Its description in RNAcentral is "partial 16S ribosomal RNA". It matches the Rfam family "Bacterial small subunit ribosomal RNA", at positions 331 to 526 of the family's 1533-position model. The record is from RNAcentral.
GAUUACUCCUACGGGAGGCAGCAGUAGGAAAUCUUCCACAAUGGACGAAAGUCUGAUGGAGCAACGCCGCGUGAGUGAAGAAGGUUUUCGGAUCGUAAAACUCUGUUGUAAGGGAAGAACACGUACGAGAGUAACUGCUCGUACCUUGACGGUACCUUAUUAGAAAGCCACGGCUAACUACGUGCCAGCAGCCGCGGUAAUAAU